This 215-nucleotide long non-coding RNA is filed under the name Vigna radiata. RNAcentral describes it as "long non-coding RNA (VRAD_LNC001847)". Lineage: Eukaryota; Viridiplantae; Streptophyta; Magnoliopsida; Fabales; Fabaceae. The record is from RNAcentral.
AAGGGUAUCUUUAGGAAGGGAAUUAGUUAUAUAGCAGAGGGUGGGGUAGGAGAGCGUAGACAAUGAUUGAAAAUGUUUAUCUUCCUCUCUGGUUGAAUUCUUUCUGUUGCUUUUAUAUUGCUCACUUUUCGCAAAGGUAACACGUUGUACCUUGUGCUUUACUUUCCAAAUUAAAGGCAAGCACCGACCCUUAGUCGGUGGCUUUUUUCCCUGGG